Molecule: non-coding RNA, 822 nt
Organism: Vicugna pacos (alpaca)
Lineage: Eukaryota; Metazoa; Chordata; Mammalia; Artiodactyla; Camelidae
Source: RefSeq, a predicted model, not a curated record
GGAUAAGAGCCUUAACUAUAAUAGAAGAGUUGAAAGCUGGCAUUUUUCAGGAUUCUCUGUUCAGGAAGAGAGACCAAGAUGGAGAAGCAUUAUCACUAAACUGAGAAAGAGCUGUUCUUCUAGCCAUGAUGUGUUCAAAGAUGAGCUCCAUUAAUGGAAAACAAAUGAUUGAUAAUCCAGGGGUUCACAUGUGAAAGGCACUGUACCCUGAGCAGGAUGUGAUGGUGGGUUCCACAACAUUUACGAUUUGAAACCCUAAGGAGAUACUCAAUCAUAAGUACAUAAAACGCAUUAUUUUUGAUCAGAGAACUCUGAAAUCUGCAAUGUUCUUCACUGGCACUCUUCCCUACGCUGUGCUGUCCAGAACAUGUGCGCUGCUAUUCUGAGCUUUCCGGAAGUGAAACAACUUUAUGGAAAUCGAAAAUUGGAGGAUUUUUAAAUUUUCAUAUCACAGAUGAUAAAAGAUGAAAGAGUGAUCUUUUAUCAGCAAGUGGUGUGCUGCUUCAUGGAUUUUACUCAACCAACAGUUACGGAGAGCCUCUCCUGUGCAAAGCAACACUUAGGCACCAUGUGUAUGCUGACGGUGUGCCGGGAGAUGGAUAGAAAGAGGAAGCCGUCGCGUUUUAUGGAUUUUCAUUAUUAUUACAAAGACGAGCAUUAGAAAGCAAAGGGCAAAGGCUGCCGAGCUCUUUCUAAAUAGGCAAGCGUGUCGCAGCUUCGGGAGGAGGGGACAGGAAUGGUGGCAUUUUUCAAAAUGGGAAUUUGGUUUUUCAGACUGACGCCUGAAAAAUAAAGACAAGGCUAAACCAUUGCAUCAACAAA